This 833-nucleotide ribosomal RNA is filed under the name uncultured bacterium. RNAcentral's name for it is "bacterial SSU rRNA". It matches the Rfam family "Bacterial small subunit ribosomal RNA", at positions 67 to 906 of the family's 1533-position model. The record is from RNAcentral.
GGGUCCGUAGCAAUACGGGCAACCGGCGAACGGGUGCGUAACACGUGAGCAACCUGCCGCGCUCUGGGGGAUAGCCGGCCCAACGGCCGGGUAAUACCGCAUACGUUCUUUGGGGGGAGUCUCCUGAAGAAGAAACCUCCGGGGGAGCGCGAGGGGCUCGCGGCCUAUCAGCUAGUUGGCGGGGUAACGGCCCACCAAGGCAGUGACGGGUAGCUGGUCUGAGAGGAUGGCCAGCCACAUUGGGACUGAGAAACGGCCCAGACUCCUACGGGAGGCAGCAGUGGGGAAUCUUGCGCAAUGGUCGAAAGACUGACGCAGCGACGCCGCGUGUGGGAGGACGCCCUUCGGGGUGUAAACCACUGUUGCCCGGGACGAAACUCCUCUUUCGAGAGGACUGACGGUACCGGGUGAGGAAGCACCGGCUAACUCCGUGCCAGCAGCCGCGGUAAUACGGAGGGUGCGAGCGUUGUCCGGAAUCACUGGGCGUAAAGGGCGCGUAGGCGGCGCGGAAAGUCGUCGGUGAAAGCUCAGGGCUCGACUCUGAGUCUGCCGGUGAUACUCCCGCGCUCGAGCUCACUAGAGGCAGAUGGAAUUCCGGGUGUAGCGGUGGAAUGCGUAGAGAUCCGGAAGAACACCGGUGGCGAAGGCGGUCUGCUGGGGUGAGGCUGACGCUGAUGCGCGACAGCGUGGGGAGCAAACAGGAUUAGAUACCCUGGUAGUCCACGCCGUAAACGAUGGGCACUAGGUGCUUGGGGGAGCGACCCCUUGAGUGCCGGCGCUAACGCAUUAAGUGCCCCGCCUGGGGAGUACGGCCGCAAGGCUGAAACUCAAAG